CCAGGACCAGGUAGAAAGUCAAAUAACCUAGGCCCUGCAACAUUGCACCCAGGAAUGGAUUACUGUCUAUCCUACUUCCCCAAAAGAGAAUUAACAGCAUAGAAAUUAUGCCUAAAAGCCAGGUAUUUAUAUACCAGGUUUCUCUUACUGAUAACUCUGGAUUGAGUUGUUUCCAUUAAAUCAACAAUAUUAAAUGUCUUGGGGUGGAGCCAAGAUGGCCAAAUAAGAACAGCUCCAGUCUACAACUCCCAGCAUGAGCGACGCAGAAGACGGGUGAUUUCUGCAUUUCCAACUGAGGUACUGGGUUCAUCUUACUGGGAAGUGUUGGACAG
This 332-nucleotide long non-coding RNA is filed under the name Homo sapiens (human). RNAcentral's name for it is "HSALNT0346603". Lineage: Eukaryota; Metazoa; Chordata; Mammalia; Primates; Hominidae. The record is from RNAcentral.